GGGGCGGAUCCGCCUUCAAGCCGGCACAUCCGCCGUACGCUCUCCCCCGUUUUGGCCACGCUCACCGGAUCCGGUCCGCCUCCACACGGCGCUCUGUCAAACAGACUAACUGCGGACACCGGGCGGAUUCGCACAUCGGACGCGUCUGUUUCAAAAAUUCUUAACCGUUGCUGACCGUUAUUCUCACAGACAGCAGAGCUCUUACAGUGGGAAUCGGCAGCUCUCUCGGAGGACACGGACACGCAUACAGCUCAUUCACAAGUGGCGCCAGUCUGAUUUGGGGACUGCCUGCUUCUCACCCUUUCCUGCCACCGGUGUAAAGUGUUUCUUGUUCUGGAGCUGUGGAGUCUGGAUCUGUGGCUGCGGGUCACCUG
Micropterus dolomieu (smallmouth bass) is the source of this 374-nucleotide long non-coding RNA. RefSeq lists it as uncharacterized. Lineage: Eukaryota; Metazoa; Chordata; Actinopteri; Centrarchiformes; Centrarchidae. The transcript is spliced from 3 exons. The record is from RefSeq and is a predicted model, not a curated record.